Papaver somniferum (opium poppy) is the source of this 514-nucleotide long non-coding RNA. RefSeq lists it as uncharacterized. The record is from RefSeq and is a predicted model, not a curated record. The transcript has 2 exons. NCBI's taxonomy places the organism in Eukaryota, Viridiplantae, Streptophyta, Magnoliopsida, Ranunculales, Papaveraceae.
UAUCUCAGUCCCAAAAUCCUCCACCCUCAAAUUCUUCGUCUUCCCACCUUACAUCAUUAAACAUGGAAAACGCAUGUUCCAUUUUGUUAGUCACGGGGAUGUUCUGCAUGAUUUUCAGUUUUGUUUUAGUUAUCAGAUCAAUCAGAAUUGCAAAACUCAAAUUAGUUCUCACAUCAACAGGGAUUGCAAAACUCAAAUUACGGGAUACCAGACUGUCCAGACUAACAAAGUUCAGAGAUGCCACUCAAGUUCACCUCAGCAAUCAUUAUUAUUGGAUCUCCUAAGAAGAAAUAAACAUAAGCCUAAACCCUUGAAAAUGAACUGGACCUCUAUAUAUUUCCUUCUCAAUUUUGAUGUUAAGGGUUUCUUCUCAUUUUUUAUACGAAACUUAGAUUGUACCAGUUGAAUCUUUGAUUAUAAUUGUUACCACUUGAAUUUUAAUUGGCACCAAGGUGUUACAUUGUCCUACACUAACUAUUUGAAUAAGAACAUCAGUUGGGGAUUAUUUUUGAAA